CCUACGGGGGGCUGCAGUGGGGAAUAUUGGGCAAUGGGCGAAAGCCUGACCCAGCGACGCCGCGUGGGCGAUGAAGGCCUUCGGGUUGUAAAGCCCUGUCAUGCGGAAAGAACGACCCUGUGACGCAUACUCACAGGGAGUGACGGUACCGCAGGCGGAAGCACCGGCUAACUCCGUGCCAGCAGCCGCGGUAAUACGGACGGUGCAAGCGUUGUUCGGAGGUGUUGGGCCGAUAAUGCAAGUCAGAUGUGAUAUACUCCGGCUCAACUGGGGAACUGCAUCUGAAACUGCAUAACUAGAGUACAGAAGAGGGAAACGGAAUUCCCGGUGUAGAGGUGAAAUUCGUAGAUAUCGGGAGGAACACCAGUGGCGAAGGCGGUUUCCUGGUCUGAUACUGACGCUGAGGCGCGAAAGUGUGGGGAGCAAACAGGAUUAGAUACCCGGGUAGUC
Molecule: ribosomal RNA, 450 nt
Filed under: uncultured bacterium
Lineage: Bacteria
Description: partial 16S ribosomal RNA
Rfam family: Bacterial small subunit ribosomal RNA
Source: RNAcentral